GAGGGAUCAAGAGGGUGCUAGACUCGGCCUGAAGUAUUUAUUGAAUGUUGUCACACUGCCCAUAGAGGGUGUAAGGCCCGUAAGGCCGGCGUCUAGAUUACCUCGCUGGUUCCUCUCGAGAGUCGGGUUGCUUGAAAGUGCAGCCCUAAGUAGGUGGUAAACUCCAUCUAAGGCUAAAUAUUCCCACGAGACCGAUAGCGAACAAGUACCGCGAGGGAAAGUUGAAAAGAACUUUGAAAAGAGAGUUCAAUAGAGCGUGAAACUACCACGAGGCUAAAGCGAGUGAGCGUACGUAUCCGAACGGUUUGAUUCAGUCCGCCCGAGCACGAUGAGCAGUGGGGGGUCGUAAUACGUCAUUAACGGAUCUCCCGAAAGGAUCCGAGCUUUACGCUCGGCCUCUAGGGUGACCGGCGUAUCCUCCGCUUUGCUCUGUAGGGGGACGCAUUUCCGGCCGAAGUAGGGCGUCGCGGCCGUUUCGGGGGUGUCUAAGACACGGGGGUCUUGGAAUCCGCAUCUUCUCGUCCCGGCGCGCUCUACCGCCUCGCCUUCGCGGAGGGGCGGCAUCACGCCGGGGUCGCGAGUCGAGCGGGGCCGCCUCGUUGAUCUGACGG
This 611-nucleotide ribosomal RNA is filed under the name Paraplatyarthrus sp. 5 MJ-2015. RNAcentral describes it as "eukaryotic LSU rRNA". It matches the Rfam family "Eukaryotic large subunit ribosomal RNA", at positions 151 to 664 of the family's 3401-position model. The record is from RNAcentral. Lineage: Eukaryota; Metazoa; Arthropoda; Malacostraca; Isopoda; Paraplatyarthridae.